Molecule: long non-coding RNA, 3757 nt
Filed under: Olea europaea subsp. europaea
Lineage: Eukaryota; Viridiplantae; Streptophyta; Magnoliopsida; Lamiales; Oleaceae
Source: RNAcentral
CGUGGUGCCAUUUCUCUCUCUGCCGGCAGUCCUGCAACUCGUUUCUCUACUCUACGGUCAUCUUCCUUCAAAUGUUUUAUAUUUUUGCCGUUUACUCAAGAAAAUUUGCAUGAAUAACGAGAUGCCUGAAUUUAUUCUGAAGGUCGGGCUGAUUUUUUGCUUAUAUCUGUAAUUAAUUUUCAAUUUAUUUCACUAUUUAGUAAAUGAAGCUUUCUAUUAACUUCGUUCAAUUAAGUAACAUUCAUAUUGUUGCUGUUUGGUGUAAAGCUUAAAUUGCAGUUUGUUUACUUCAAAUUGGACUGUAAUAAGAAGAUAUACAGUGAAAAUCUAGUAUUCUUCUCAGUAUUUUCUUGACUUCCUUGUUUUAUAUUCUUUUUUUUUUUUUCCCUCUCUCUCUCUCUAGAUAACUCGUGUAGUUAGUUUUUGAAUUUUGAUACCUGGAGUUUUGAUUAGUUCAUAGAUUGGGGCUAAUGUGUACGUACUUGUGUGUUUGUGUGGCACUCCUCUUACAGUACCAAAAAUGUUAUGGCAUUGUUAUGUUUUGCUAAAAAAUCUGCCCGGAGUGUGUCAAUUUGAUAUGAUCUGCAACUCUGUCCCAUGAAGUUGUGAUGUAAACAAUUUUUACAUUUCUACUUCUUCCAAAAUGUCCUGACUGAGGUUAUACAGUGAAAACAAGGUCAUAAACUCAUAAUUAACUGGAGCAGAUAUUUAAUAAGAGAAAGGACGUGUUGGGAGCUGGUCUCACUAAAUAUGCAGCCAAAUUGUCUUGUUACAAACUACAAGUGAAUUCGGUCCAUUUAUGAAUAAAUACUGUUUUGUACUUUGAGCACACUUCUGAUCGAUUGUAAUCACUUUCAGAUUAUGGUCACAAUAUAGAUUUCAUGGAACAAAUUUGUGCUACUAUUCUACUGUAUGAUCUGUUUAAAUGUAGUGUUGUGAUGUAUUUUCCAAACUGAAUGUGCAAUGUUGCAGAACUGAAAAAGAUUGAUAAGUGCACAUUACGAUGGCAGAGUCUCAGAAGAUAGCGUCAUCCUAAAAAUUGAAGGAAAAAAAAAUUCAUCGUUCAACGAUUUGGGGCGGGAUGAGUGAAAUGUUGGAGGACUUGAAAAUGGAGGUGAUUGGGCCAUUUUACCAUCUCUAUCUGCCACGAAACCUUGGUGUGUGACCAAUAUCAGGGAUCUUGUUGCAUGGCCCAGUGUGGGAAAACCAAAACCAAAUGCCAUUGCCAAUGAGGCUGAUGUUCCCUUUUAUAAGAUCUGUGCUAUUGAAUUGGUGUAUGGAGUUUCAGGUGUAAUUGUUUUUUGUUUCUCUUUGUUUUUUUGAUGACGAAUUUUUAAUCAUAAAUCUUUUAGAUAUCUAAUUGUGUUUUCACUUAUAGUGAUGACAGGGUAAAUAGACCUAUGCGUGUCAUUUCUUUAUUUUAUUUUAUUAUAUUUAUUUUUAUUUUCUAUUUUUUAUCUUGUCCACCUAUUUGCUGCUAGUUGCUGCUAGUUUAACAAUUGGACUAAUUUCCCUUUUUUGUCUAUUAUGUGUGGGGUUUCAAUUAUGAACUUGGUUUUGUUCCUGCCCUUAUUUACAUAUUUUUCAAGCUUGCUGAGAUGUUUUAUUUGUUGAAUGUUUCAGCGACAUCAGAAGAAGAUAUUAGAGAGCUAUUUUCUAUAGCUCACAAGGACAGCCCCAUCCAUUGUAUUCAUAGAUGAAAUAGAUGCGAUUGCAACUAAAUGGUAAAUUUCCAGUAACGUAAUGGAGCAACAAAUUGUCACAAUACUAAUGUUGUGCAUGGAUAAGUCAUCGAGAAUUGUCAAACCUAUAAAUGAAAGUGGAACUUUAGAGAAUUCUGAUUGCAUGUCUGUGUAUGUACUCGUUAUUGGAGCAACAAAUAGGCCUGAUUCUAUUAAUCCUGCAUUGAUGAGGCUUGGAUGAUUUGACCAUGAGAUUUAGCUUUUGAUCUUAUGAAUAUAGCUUAGUCCACUGCAGGGAUUGUUGGAGCUGACUUGGCAGCACUUAUGGACAAAGCUGGCAAUCUAGCAAAUGAAUUGGAUAAUAGGCCAAUGCAAGUAUCAGGUUUCUACAGAACCUGUAUAAGGGGAGUUUGUUGAAGAAUGGUGGAGACAACCUUGAUCGUGUGAAGAAAUAGAAAGGCUCGGCAUGACAAUGGCUGAUUUUGAGGUAACAUUGCAACCUAACAUUAAAUGCAUAUGAAAAUUGUGAAUGUAUAUCGAUGCUAUAUGCUUGCCCUUUUAUUUCGUACCUUUGUUCUCCUGCAUUGUUAUCAAAUUGGAUUUUGUUUAUUUGGUUAUUUUUUACAUAUCGCCUAGUUCUUUAAUUAAUGUGUAUUGUUUGUUGGUUUUGCGGUUCAAUCUAUUUUUUUCCUGGUCAUGGAUGGACAUUGAUGUUGAUUUGGUCAUUUGUCUUUCAACUGUUGUAAUUGGUAUAUUUUUUCGUGGGCUAGGUUUUGGUCUAUCUUUGCUUUGGAAUUCUGUAGCUUCCUUGUUUUUAGAUAUAGAUUUGAUGUCUUAUUGGAACUCUUCUGUCAUGUUGGUAUGUAUCCUGUGUAAAUAGGUUUUGCAGCUUGACACCUUUUAGCAAAAUCUCCUUUCUUGUAAUAUUAAUUCUCUGUACUUAUCUUAGGAAGGCAUUUGUCUAUACUCUAGAGGCAUCGUUUUUCCUUUUUCUUAUUGUUUUUGGUUCCCUCAUUUCCUUUCGGUUUCUGAUUUACUCUUUCUAUGUGAUCUCCCCCUCAAUUAAUUGCUAAACACACGAUUUUGUAGAAAGGUGCUAAAAUGGUUCAACACUAAAUCUUUGUGCUCCUCAUUAUUUACUAUCAAUUGGAUAUUUUAUAGAUGAGUUGUGUAGAUUUUCGCUUUUUGGAGUUCCAUGUCGCUAUUUUUUCAGAAGCAAAGAUCAUAGCCCUUUGAUCUAUUAUAGUUGUUGAGAGGAUUUGCAGUUUCAAUUGUUCUUAAGUAAUUAGUUUAGAUAUUUGAUUCACAAGAAAGAUCGUCCCCCUUGGUCUAAGUUCAACAUUGGGAUGUUGUUCAUGGUUCAAUAUCGGCUUUUGGUCAAGGUUUAAGGUUCUCUCAGUUGAGGAGAAAUGAUGCAAUAUUAUAGGAGAUGAUUGUUUAUUAAGUUUCCUAUUUUGAUUUGUAUUUUAGGAAACAUGAUUAGAGUGUGAUUUAAUCACUUUUAUAACAUUUCUUUACUUAGUUAUGAUUUUUGAAACCCUAUAUAAAGGGGGUUAUGUCGAUAUACAGUGGUGAUAAUGAAGGCCCGGUGAGGCAGAUGCCUGCACUGGACUUUGGGCUGCUACGAAUUAUGCAUGGCAGCCCAGGCCCAUGUUAAAAUAAAAAUAAAAUAAAAUUGAAUUGGGCCAAUUAAUUGGCCCAAUUACAAGCUACAACAUUACCCAUAUGAUUGAGGAGGAGGCUUGAGCCUUAAAUGGUGGUAAAAGUCGAGAAGAAGAAAUCGUAGAAUAUUGCCCUUGUUGGUUGCUGCUGGCUUCAAGCCUUAGACCCAAUGCGAGUCGCGUGACGACAACUGCCUGCUUCGAGUCUUCGACGGGACGAUGACUGCUUGCUUCCAAUUUCUCAAGUUUUUGUAUGGUUGUAUCUUUAUUCUUUAUGUCUGCAACUCAUUUUAUUUCAUGUAUCAAUGAGAAUUGAGAGAUGUAAUUUGUUUUGGUUUUCUUCUAUUUUAUAGAUUCUCUAAUUCAUUUUAUAUAUCACUUAAUUUCUUUGUAAAGAUUGAAAUUGGGUUUUAG